Molecule: long non-coding RNA, 328 nt
Organism: Dermacentor silvarum
Lineage: Eukaryota; Metazoa; Arthropoda; Arachnida; Ixodida; Ixodidae
Exons: 2
Source: RefSeq, a predicted model, not a curated record
CUGCGUACUGAAUGCCGCUCUGAAUGCGACAGCAUCCUGAAACCUGAUCAAUCUGCUCAACAUUGCGCCGUGAUUACUGAGCAUCAACCAACUUAUGUCCAAUAUUACUCUAGCUUCUCGUAUGUCUGCCGUGUGGGAUAUUGCGUGAAAGGGCACUGUAUGUAUCUUUCUACGUAUUUCGAAAGAUGCCGGGUUGUAUGACCUAACUUUUCGGGAUGUCGGGAAAGUACCAUCGCGGUAAUUUAGCUGGUUAAUAUUGAAGGCUUAGCAUGAACCUUCUUGCCAAAACUGAGCACUACAAAAAUGAAUAAAGUUGUAUGAAACUGGC